Molecule: long non-coding RNA, 433 nt
Organism: Selaginella moellendorffii
Lineage: Eukaryota; Viridiplantae; Streptophyta; Lycopodiopsida; Selaginellales; Selaginellaceae
Exons: 2
Source: RefSeq, a predicted model, not a curated record
AACAUACCAAGGGCCACAGCUGGCCGGGUGCUACACAAGGAACAGUCGAGCGAACGCUAUGAGCUCUACCACCAUUAAACUAAUCGGAUACUUCCAAGGAACAGUAUUCUCGCUUCUUUUCUGGCCAAGGAUGUGCAUAAAACAUCCAGGGGGAGCUCGUCGCAGGAUCAGCGAAAGAAAUAUAGAGCGCGGACAAAACUUUUGGUAAUUUAGCGGCGCUUAGACGAUCUUAACAGGAUCGAACACGUCCUUCCUGUCCUCGACCCAGGGAUCUCGCAGGUACGCAGUGGCAAAGUUGCAAUCUAGAAAAUCUAGAAGACGAAGACUCUCUUCGUCGAGUUUCUUCCUUGCAAGUUUGGAAAAGCUACUUGAUCCUCUGCGUUGAUGGGUUUGGUGUUCUCUUCUCUCAAGGUAAUGCUCUUUAUAUCUUUUA